GAUGAACGCUGGCGGCGUGCCUAAUACAUGCAAGUCGAGCGAACAGACGAGGAGCUUGCCCCUUUGACGUUAGCGGCGGACGGGUGAGUAACACGUGGAUAACCUACCUAUAAGACUGGGAUAACUUCGGGAAACCGGAGCUAAUACCGGAUAACAUGUUGAACCGCAUGGUUCAACAGUGAAAGACGGUCUUGCUGUCACUUAUAGAUGGAUCCGCGCCGCAUUAGCUAGUUGGUAAGGUAACGGCUUACCAAGGCAACGAUGCGUAGCCGACCUGAGAGGGUGAUCGGCCACACUGGAACUGAGACACGGUCCAGACUCCUACGGGAGGCAGCAGUAGGGAAUCUUCCGCAAUGGGCGAAAGCCUGACGGAGCAACGCCGCGUGAGUGAAGAAGGUCUUCGGAUCGUAAAACUCUGUUAUUAGGGAAGAACAAAUGUGUAAGUAACUAUGCACGUCUUGACGGUACCUAAUCAGAAAGCCACGGCUAACUACGUG
RNAcentral lists this ribosomal RNA (497 nucleotides) under uncultured bacterium. Its description in RNAcentral is "partial 16S ribosomal RNA". It matches the Rfam family "Bacterial small subunit ribosomal RNA", at positions 28 to 507 of the family's 1533-position model. The record is from RNAcentral.